UUCGCAAUGCCCGAAAGGGUGACGAAGCGACGCCGCGUGGGUGAGGAAGGCCUUCGGGUUGUAAAGCCCUGUCAGGAGUUAAGAAAUGUAGACUCGCUAAUAUCGGGUCUAUUUGACAAAGGCUCCAAAGGAAGCCACGGCUAACUCUGUGCCAGCAGCCGCGGUAAUACAGAGGUGGCAAGCGUUGUUCGGAAUUAUUGGGCGUAAAGAGCACGUAGGUGGAUUUGUAAGUCAGACGUGAAAGCCUUCUGUUCAACGGAAGAAUUGCAUCUGAAACUACAAACCUUGAGUGUAGGAGGGGAGAAUGGAACUUCUGGUGGAGCGGUGAAAUGCGUAGAUAUCAGAAGGAACGCCGGCGGCGAAAGCGAUUCUCUGGCCUAUUACUGACACUCAGUGUGCGAAAGCUAGGGGAGCAAACGGGAUUAGAUACCCCGGUAGUUCUAGCCGUAAACGAUGGGCACUAAGUAGAGGGGUUUU
Molecule: ribosomal RNA, 477 nt
Filed under: Candidatus Scalindua marina (nom. nud.)
Lineage: Bacteria; Pseudomonadati; Planctomycetota; Candidatus Brocadiia; Candidatus Brocadiales; Candidatus Scalinduaceae
Description: bacterial SSU rRNA
Rfam family: Bacterial small subunit ribosomal RNA
Source: RNAcentral